GGGGCGUUCGUUUAAUGGUUAGGACUCCAGGUUUUCAUCCUGGCAACAGGGGUUCGAUUCCCCUACGCCCUACCA
RNAcentral lists this transfer RNA (75 nucleotides) under Flavobacterium sp. RNAcentral describes it as "tRNA-Glu". It matches the Rfam family "tRNA". Rfam says of the family: Transfer RNA (tRNA) molecules are approximately 80 nucleotides in length. Lineage: Bacteria; Pseudomonadati; Bacteroidota; Flavobacteriia; Flavobacteriales; Flavobacteriaceae. The record is from RNAcentral. RNAcentral also lists the same sequence under 4 other names.